RNAcentral lists this ribosomal RNA (90 nucleotides) under Bacteroidales bacterium. Lineage: Bacteria; Pseudomonadati; Bacteroidota; Bacteroidia; Bacteroidales. The record is from RNAcentral.
GUUCCACCUCUUCCCAUUCCGAACAGAGAAGUUAAGCCCAAUAGCGUCGAUGGUACUGCACUUGUGUGGGAGAGUAGAUAGCCGCCGUUU